This 497-nucleotide ribosomal RNA is filed under the name uncultured bacterium. Its description in RNAcentral is "partial 16S ribosomal RNA". It matches the Rfam family "Bacterial small subunit ribosomal RNA", at positions 28 to 507 of the family's 1533-position model. The record is from RNAcentral.
GAUGAACGCUGGCGGCGUGCCUAAUACAUGCAAGUCGAGCGAACGGACGAGAAGCUUGCUUCUCUGAUGUUAGCGGCGGACGGGUGAGUAACACGUGGAUAACCUACCUAUAAGACUGGGAUAACUUCGGGAAACCGGAGCUAAUACCGGAUAAUAUUUUGAACCGCAUGGUUCAAAAGUGAAAGACGGUCUUGCUGUCACUUAUAGAUGGAUCUGCGCUGCAUUAGCUAGUUGGUAAAGUAACGGCUUACCAAGGCAACGAUGCAUAGCCGACCUGAGAGGGUGAUCGGCCACACUGGAACUGAGACACGGUCCAGACUCCUACGGGAGGCAGCAGUAGGGAAUCUUCCGCAAUGGGCGAAAGCCUGACGGAGCAACGCCGCGUGAGUGAUGAAGGUCUUCGGAUCGUAAAACUCUGUUAUUAGGGAAGAACAUAUGUGUAAGUAACUGUGCACAUCUUGACGGUACCUAAUCAGAAAGCCACGGCUAACUACGUG